RNAcentral lists this ribosomal RNA (420 nucleotides) under bacterium. Its description in RNAcentral is "partial 16S ribosomal RNA". It matches the Rfam family "Bacterial small subunit ribosomal RNA", at positions 355 to 776 of the family's 1533-position model. The record is from RNAcentral.
UGGGGGAUAUUGCACAAUGGGCGAAAGCCUGAUGCAGCGACGCCGCGUGGGGGAUGAAGGCUUUCGGGAUGUAAACCUCUUUCGCUAUCGAACAAGGCCCGCUUAGGGUGGGUUGAGGGUAGGUGGAGAAGAAGCGCCGGCUAACUACGUGCCAGCAGCCGCGGUAAUACGUAGGGCGCGAGCGUUGUCCGGAAUUAUUGGGCGUAAAGGGCUUGUAGGCGGCUUGUUGCGCCUGCUGUGAAAACGCGGGGCUUAACUUCGCGCGUGCAGUGGGUACGGGCAGGCUUGAGUGUGGUAGGGGUGACUGGAAUUCCAGGUGUAGCGGUGGAAUGCGCAGAUAUCUGGAGGAACACCGAUGGCGAAGGCAGGUCACUGGGGCAUUACUGACGCUGAGGAGCGAAAGCAUGGGUAGCGAACAGG